UACGUAGGGUGCGAGCGUUAAUCGGAGUUACUGGGCGUAAAGCGUGCGCAGGCGGUUCGUUAAGUCAGAUGUGAAAGCCCCGGGCUCAACCUGGGAACUGCAUUUGAAACUGGCGGGCUUGAGUGCGGCAGAGGGGGGUGGAAUUCCGCGUGUAGCAGUGAAAUGCGUAGAGAUGCGGAGGAACACCGAUGGCGAAGGCAGCCCCCUGGGCCGACACUGACGCUCAGGCACGAAAGCGUGGGGAGCAAACAGG
Molecule: ribosomal RNA, 253 nt
Filed under: uncultured bacterium
Lineage: Bacteria
Description: partial 16S ribosomal RNA
Rfam family: Bacterial small subunit ribosomal RNA
Source: RNAcentral